ACCCCUACGGGGGGCAGCAGUGGGGAAUUUUGGACAAUGGGGGCAACCCUGAUCCAGCAAUGCCGCGUGAGUGAAGAAGGCCUUCGGGUUGUAAAGCUCUUUUGUCAGGGAAGAAACGGUAGUAGCGAAUAACUACUACUAAUGACGGUACCUGAAGAAUAAGCACCGGCUAACUACGUGCCAGCAGCCGCGGUAA
Molecule: ribosomal RNA, 196 nt
Filed under: uncultured Burkholderiales bacterium
Lineage: Bacteria; Pseudomonadati; Pseudomonadota; Betaproteobacteria; Burkholderiales
Description: partial 16S ribosomal RNA
Rfam family: Bacterial small subunit ribosomal RNA
Source: RNAcentral